RNAcentral lists this long non-coding RNA (1608 nucleotides) under Monodelphis domestica (gray short-tailed opossum). RNAcentral describes it as "lncRNA (ENSMODG00000044251.1)". Lineage: Eukaryota; Metazoa; Chordata; Mammalia; Didelphimorphia; Didelphidae. The record is from RNAcentral.
CUCAUGAGGUCCUGAUCCUCAUUUGAUUUUUACUCAUGGAAAGGAAAGGGUUUUCACCCCAUUUGCUUUAGACUUGGUCUUAAACUUUACUUCCAAAACUCAUUUUAUCCUUUAGCAUAAAAAAAAGUAUUAACAAGCUUACUUUCAAAUAAUAUCAGAAAACAAACAUGGAUAAAGGUCCAUUGAAUACUGAGUGCUGUACUUGUACUGAGCACUGUUCUUGAGAAAAUAUUGUCAGUAUGUUACUCAUAUAGACCUAGCUAAUAUGUCCUCUCAAAACUACCACUUCUAGGGGGCAGCUGGGUGACUCAGUGGAUUGAGAUCCAGGCAGGCCCAGGGCCUGGGUUCAAAUCUGACCUUAGACACUUCCUAGCUGUGUGACUCUGGACAAGUCACUUAACCCCCCUUGCCCAGUCCUUACCACUCUUCUGCCUUGGAACCAAUACACAGUAUUGAUUCUAAGACGGAAGGUAAGAGUUAAAAAAAGAAACUACCACUUCCACGCCAUAUGGCAUGGUCUCUACAACUCCUAUGCGACCAGUGGGGCUGAAAAAGUAAAAACAAAAGUCAAUCAGGUAGAUAUUAACCUAUAGCUCAUUGUUUCACAUAAUGCAAACCAAAUAUCUGGAAGGCAGAGUAUUUUUGUUUACUUAUUUUACAUUUCAUCUAGAUGUCUGGCUAGAGAUUGCAUGAUACGACCAUCUCCAAGUGAACUAUAUUUCAGGGACAGAAUUAGGUUUUCAUGGGGAACUCCACAAAGAAUACAGUUUAUCAAGCCACCUAGAAACCCGUGCUUGGGGACUCUUAAAUCUAUUCUAAUUGAAGCAAAGAAUCAGCAGAGUGGAAAAGACCCUGACUCUACUCAAGAUAUGUCAAAGUAGGUGAUGUGGGGGACACCUGGGGUUUAGAACACAGUGACAGCUGCAAACUGACCUUUCAGUAAAUUUAAUCUACAAAUGGAUUCCUAUUUAGGACUGCUAAUGCCUUUGGUGAUUGCAAAGGCUUCCUCCUAGAUUUUUGAAAGCUAGGGAGAAAUUAAUUUCAAUCUGUAUUAUAUAGAUUGCACAGCAAACAAGUGGAUUAGGAAUGCAUAUAAGUCACAUUUGGAAAUGGAGAGUUUUAUUGGCUUAGUAAGCAAAUAUUAAUAUAUGUAUAAUGAAGAGAAAAAUACUUCCAUGCCAUAAGGACAGGAAAAGGCUAAGUUGGCAUUCCUUGAAAUUCACUGAUGUUAGAAUUAUCCAGACACACAAGAUGAUAACGAAGUGAAUUUUUUAAAAAUUAAAUGACUCUUUUCCCUUACUGGCUAUGACUUAAGGAAAGAGAAUGAGAACUUUGUUAGACAGAUCCUUAGGAGAACCUGAGUAAGUCAUUUAACCUCUGGGGUGCAAAUUUCUACUGGGAAUAUCAUCAGUGGUUGAAAAUGGACCAGGUCAUUGACCUUUGCACUGUCCCUAUGGCUCCACCGUAGACGGCAGAGACUCUCAUGGGACCCUCAUUCCCUCUAUUCCAUAUGCUUACUUGAUAGGCAUGAUUUCUCAGCAUUCCAUCCAUAGGGACAUUGCUUUCAACUGAAAUCAUUCUAUUGAAAUAAAAUGGUAAUCAAAAGCA